ACCCAUGUGGUGCGAAGCAAUCGGAAGUGGUUCCAAGAAAAGCCUCUAAGCUUCAGUCAUACGAGACCGUACCGCAAACCGACACAGGUGGGCGAGAUGAGUAUUCUAAGGCGCUUGAGAGAACUCGGGAGAAGGAACUCGGCAAAUUGGUACCGUAACUUCGGGAUAAGGUACGCCCCGGUAGCUUGACUGCUUUACUGCAGAAGGGUGAAAGGGUUGCAAUAAACUGGUGGCUGCGACUGUUUAAUAAAAACACAGCACUCUGCAAACACGAAAGUGGACGUAUAGGGUGUGACGCCUGCCCGGUGCUGGAAGAUUAAAUGAUGGGGUGCAAGCUCUUGAUUGAAGUCCCAGUAAACGGCGGCCGUAACUAUAACGGUCCUAAGGUAGCGAAAUUCCUUGUCGGGUAAGUUCCGACCUGCACGAAUGGCGUAACGAUGGCCACACUGUCUCCUCCCGAGACUCAGCGAAGUUGAAAUGUUUGUGAUGAUGCAAUCUACCCGCGGCUAGACGGAAAGACCCCAUGAACCUUUACUGUAGCUUUACAUUGGACUUUGAACCAAUCUGUGUAGGAUAGGUGGGAGGCUUUGAAGCAGGGACGCCAGUUCCUGUGGAGCCAUCCUUGAAAUACCACCCUGGUUCGUUUGAGGUUCUAACCUUGGCCCGUUAUCCGGGUCGGGGACAGUGUAUGGUAGGCAGUUUGACUGGGGCGGUCUCCUCCUAAAGUGUAACGGAGGAGUUCGAAGGUACGCUAGGUACGGUCGGACAUCGUGCUAAUAGUGCAAUGGCAUAAGCGUGCUUAACUGCGAGACCGACAAGUCGAGCAGGUACGAAAGUAGGACAUAGUGAUCCGGUGGUUCUGUAUGGAAGGGCCAUCGCUCAACGGAUAAAAGGUACUCUGGGGAUAACAGGCUGAUUCCUCCCAAGAGUUCAUAUCGACGGGGGAGUUUGGCACCUCGAUGUCGGCUCAUCACAUCCUGGGGCUGUAGCCGGUCCCAAGGGUAUGGCUGUUCGCCAUUUAAAGUGGUACGUGAGCUGGGUUUAAAACGUCGUGAGACAGUUUGGUCCCUAUCUGCCGUGGGCGUUGGAAAUUUGAAGGGGGCUGCUCCUAGUACGAGAGGACCGGAGUGGACGAACCUCUGGUGUACCGGUUGUCACGCCAGUGGCAUUGCCGGGUAGCUAAGUUCGGAAGAGAUAACCGCUGAAAGCAUCUAAGCGGGAAACUUGCCUUGAGAUGAGAUUUCCCGGAGCCUUGAGCUCCUUGAAGGGUCGUUCGAGACCAGGACGUUGAUAGGCUGGGUGUGGAAGUGCAGUAAUGCAUUAAGCUAACCAGUACUAAUUGCCCGUACGGCUUGUCCCU
This 1360-nucleotide ribosomal RNA is filed under the name Massilia hydrophila. Its description in RNAcentral is "partial 23S ribosomal RNA". It matches the Rfam family "Bacterial large subunit ribosomal RNA", at positions 1575 to 2925 of the family's 2925-position model. The record is from RNAcentral. Lineage: Bacteria; Pseudomonadati; Pseudomonadota; Betaproteobacteria; Burkholderiales; Oxalobacteraceae.